CACGAUAGGGACCGACGUUCCAUCAGGGGUGAGCAGACGUGCGCCGGCCGUACGCCCCCAUUCUUGUCUACCUCACCCGGUUGCCUCGGCGGGCCGCGCUCCCCCUGCCAGGGAGAGCCGUCCGGCGGGCCCCUUCUGGGAGCCUCGAGCCGGACCGCGCCCGCCGGAGGACAGACACCAAGAAAAAAUUCUCUGAAGAGCUGUCAGUCUGAGCGUUUAGCAAGCACAAUCAGUUAAAACUUUCAACAACGGAUCUCUUGGUUCCGGCAUCGAUGAAGAACGCAGCGAAAUGCGAUAAGUAAUGUGAAUUGCAGAAUUCCGUGAAUCAUCGAAUCUUUGAACGCACAUUGCGCCCUCUGGCAUUCCGGGGGGCAUGCCUGUUCGAGCGUCAUUUCAACCCCUCAAGCCCGGCUUGUGUGAUGGACGACCGUCCGGCCCCUCCCUUCGGGGGCGGGACGCGCCCGAAAAGCAGUGGCCAGGCCGCGAUUCCGGCUUCCUAGGCGAAUGGGCAGCCAAUUCAGCGCCCUCAGGACCGGCCGCCCUGGCCCCAAUCUUUAUAUAUAUAUAUAUCUUUUCAGGUUGACCUCGGAUCAGGUAGGGAUACCCGCUGAACUUAAGCAUAUCAAUAAGCGGAGGAAAAGAAACCAACAGGGAUUGCCCCAGUAACGGCGAGUGAAGCGGCAAGAGCUCAAAUUUGAAAUCUGGCCUCCCCCGGGGGUCCGAGUUGUAAUUUGCAGAGGAUGCUUCGGGCGCGGCCCCCGUCUAAGUUCCUUGGAACAGGACGUCAGAGAGGGUGAGAAUCCCGUCUUGGGCGGGCGGCCCGCGCCCGUGUGAAGCUCCUUCGACGAGUCGAGUUGUUUGGGAAUGCAGCUCUAAGCGGGUGGUAAAUUUCAUCUAAAGCUAAAUACCGGCCGGAGACCGAUAGCGCACAAGUAGAGUGAUCGAAAGGUUAAAAGCACCUUGAAAAGGGAGUUAAACAGCACGUGAAAUUGUUGAAAGGGAAGCGCUUGCGGCCAGACUCGGGGG
RNAcentral lists this unclassified non-coding RNA (1026 nucleotides) under Trichophyton rubrum. RNAcentral's name for it is "sequence contains ITS1, 5.8S rRNA gene and ITS2". The stretch from base 581 to 1026 matches the Rfam family "Eukaryotic large subunit ribosomal RNA", at positions 1 to 441 of the family's 3401-position model. The record is from RNAcentral. Lineage: Eukaryota; Fungi; Ascomycota; Eurotiomycetes; Onygenales; Arthrodermataceae.